This 494-nucleotide ribosomal RNA is filed under the name uncultured bacterium. RNAcentral's name for it is "bacterial SSU rRNA". It matches the Rfam family "Bacterial small subunit ribosomal RNA", at positions 903 to 1397 of the family's 1533-position model. The record is from RNAcentral.
AAAUGAAUAGACGGGGGCCCGCACAAGCAGCGGAGCAUGUGGUUUAAUUCGAAGCAACGCGAAGAACCUUACCAGGUCUUGACAUCGAGGCAAAGCGCUAGAGAUAGCGUGUUCAGCAAUGAAGCCAAAGACAGGUGGUGCAUGGUUGUCGUCAGCUCGUGUCGUGAGAUGUUGGGUUAAGUCCCGCAACGAGCGCAACCCUUAUGGUCAGUUACUAACGGGUAGAGCCGAGGACUCUGACGAGACUGCCGGGGACAACUCGGAGGAAGGUGGGGACGACGUCAAAUCAUCAUGCCCCUUAUGACCUGGGCUACACACGUGCUACAAUGGUGGCAACAAAGAGGAGCGAGCCCGUAAGGGGGAGCGGAUCUCAAAAAAGCCAUCUCAGUUCGGAUUGUGGGCUGCAACCCGCCCACAUGAAGUCGGAGUUGCUAGUAAUCGCGGAUCAGCAUGCCGCGGUGAAUACGUUCCCGGGCCUUGUACACACCGCCCGU